CGGCGAGUGAAGCGGCAACAGCUCAAAUUUGAAAUCUGGCCUCCUUUGGGGGUCCGAGUUGUAAUUUGCAGAGGGUGCUUUGGCGUCGGCAGCGGUCUAAGUUCCUUGGAACAGGACAUCACAGAGGGUGAGAAUCCCGUACGUGGUCGCCUGCCUUCGCCGUGUAAAGCCCCUUCGACGAGUCGAGUUGUUUGGGAAUGCAGCUCUAAAUGGGAGGUAAAUUUCUUCUAAAGCUAAAUACCGGCCAGAGACCGAUAGCGCACAAGUAGAGUGAUCGAAAGAUGAAAAGCACUUUGGAAAGAGAGUCAAACAGCACGUGAAAUUGUUGAAAGGGAAGCGCUUGCAGCCAGACUUGCUCGCAGUUGCUCAUCCGGGUCCGCCCGGAGCACUCUUCUGCGAGCAGGCCAGCAUCAGUUUGGGCGACCGGAUAAAGGCCUCUGUCAUGUAUCUUCCUUCGGGAUGACCUUAUAGGGGAGGCGUAAUGCGGCCAGCCCGGACUGAGGUCCGCGCAUCUGCUAGGAUGCUGGCGUAAUGGCUGUAAGCGGCCCGUCUUGAAACACGGAUCAAGGAGUCUAACAUCUAUGCGAGUGUUUGGGUGUCAAGCCCGGGCGCGUAAUGAAAGUGAACGGAGGUGGGAACCCUCUUCGGGGGGUGCACCAUCGACCGAUCCUGAUGUCUUCGGAUGGAUUUGAGUAAGAGCAUAGCUGUUGGGACCCGAAAGAUGGUGAACUAUGCUUGAAUAGGGUGAAGCCAGAGGAAACUCUGGUGGAGGCUCGCAGCGGUUCUGACGUGCAAAUCGAUCGUCAAAUUUGGGCAUAGGGGCGAAAGACUAAUCGAACUAUCUAGUAGCUGGUUCCUGCCGAAGUUUCCCUCAGGAUAGCAGUAACGUAUUCAGUUUUAUGAGGUAAAGCGAAUGAUUAGAGGCCUGGGGGUUGAAACAACCUUCACCUAUUCUCAAACUUUAAAUAUGUAAGAAGUCCUUGUUACUUGAUGAACGGGACAUUUGAAUG
RNAcentral lists this ribosomal RNA (1010 nucleotides) under Phragmocamarosporium qujingensis. Its description in RNAcentral is "partial large subunit ribosomal RNA". It matches the Rfam family "Eukaryotic large subunit ribosomal RNA", at positions 87 to 1115 of the family's 3401-position model. Lineage: Eukaryota; Fungi; Ascomycota; Dothideomycetes; Pleosporales; Lentitheciaceae. The record is from RNAcentral.